CCUACGGGGGGCAGCAGUGGGGAAUAUUGCACAAUGGGCGCAAGCCUGAUGCAGCCAUGCCGCGUGUGUGAAGAAGGCCUUCGGGUUGUAAAGCACUUUCAGCGGGGAGGAAGGCGGUGAGGUUAAUAACCUCAUCGAUUGACGUUACCCGCAGAAGAAGCACCGGCUAACUCCGUGCCAGCAGCCGCGGUAAUACGGAGGGUGCAAGCGUUAAUCGGAAUUACUGGGCGUAAAGCGCACGCAGGCGGUCUGUCAAGUCGGAUGUGAAAUCCCCGGGCUCAACCUGGGAACUGCAUUCGAAACUGGCAGGCUAGAGUCUUGUAGAGGGGGGUAGAAUUCCAGGCGUAGCGGUGAAAUGCGUAGAGAUCUGGAGGAAUACCGGUGGCGAAGGCGGCCCCCUGGACAAAGACUGACGCUCAGGUGCGAAAGCGUGGGGAGCAAACAGGAGUAGAUACCCUUGUAGUC
This 465-nucleotide ribosomal RNA is filed under the name uncultured Klebsiella sp. Its description in RNAcentral is "bacterial SSU rRNA". It matches the Rfam family "Bacterial small subunit ribosomal RNA", at positions 338 to 795 of the family's 1533-position model. Lineage: Bacteria; Pseudomonadati; Pseudomonadota; Gammaproteobacteria; Enterobacterales; Enterobacteriaceae. The record is from RNAcentral.